CUGAGCGGAGCCGUGAGGGUGGAGAGGAGACCGGAGAAACCAGUAGCUUUGUGCAGCUUGGUCUGUCACUGGCACAGCUGGCAGGGGUGGCAGCAAGAUGGAGAGAUGGGAGCAAGAUUGGGCUGGCUGGCCAAGUGUGCGAAAGGGUUGGUUCAGUCGGUGCUGGAAGACGCGCAGAACUGCCCUGCAUCAGCCAGAGAAGUACCGAAUUUAGAACGUGUCCUGGAAAAGGCCGUGUGUGUAGCCAACUUCACUUGAGCUCCUGGGCAGAUGCCGGAUUCUUUCCAAGAACUUGGAGCAGAGCAUGGAGGUUUCCUACAGCAGCCAGAUCCAUCCUAUAAUGAUUUAAAUCAUCUGUUCAGAAGAAAUAUUAAUGGGACUCCCAUAAGGCUCCUGACAUUUUGCUGAUGUUCCUGUUAGAAGACCUAUCACCUCAUUUUGAAAGCAGUAAUGAAAGUGCCAGUAUUCAAACCGCAGGGCUUAAAUGCUCACAGUUAGUCACAAAUUAGGCUACUUCCAGGCAUUCUGCUGCUGAACAGAAUUACUAGUUAUGAAUUGGUGGUUUAAGAUUUUUAAACAGUGCACAAGAAGCUAGACAUCUAAGAAUGUGAUACUGUCAGCAGAAAGUUUUUUGUUUGGUUGGUUUUUAAAAAGGGGAGGGCUAAAUUAGCUGGUGAGAAAGAUCAGAAGAGAAGUCUCAUUUCAGCUUAUCGGAACAGGACACCUCUUUGUGUCCACGUCCGAUAUCUGUGUGUCUCUCUGACUUGUGAUAGUGCCUGGAAAUGAAGUCCCUUACUGCGCCUUAACAAUUGAGCUCUACUUAGGUGGUUUUAUUGUGUCUUGAAGCUUUUUAGUGGGAUGGCUUCAGCUCCAGCUGUUCUGCACGCCAGGUAAAUAAUUUCAGCAUACCAUCAAGGCAACAUCUGGCAGUGCCAACAUAUCCUCAGUUCUGAGAGCAUUAAGAAUGUUCUGAAUGUGCCUAAAGUUCUGGACUGCACAGUUAAAAUUUGUGUGGGGUGCCUAAAUUGUGAAUGCUGAAGAAAUGUCUGUGAAAAGUUCCUGCAUAUUUUGAAGAUGUGCUAGUUUGAAAAAGCUGCGCAACAAGCAGCAGAAAUGAGAAGUGCUAUGGGGGUUUUACUGGUGUGGAAACUCAGGUCCCAUGGGAAAUCGAUAUUUUGGAAUCUGAACUGUAUCUAAUAUCCUGUUUUGGAUCUAACCUGGAGACCUAUAAGCAAGUUUGUUUCUCAACUAGAUGGGUAAUUAAACAAUAUUCAUGGAUUUAUAGUGUAUUCCCGAGAGGGUGUUUGCAUUAGCUUUAAAAUACAACAGUCCAUUUCAUAAAUGAGAGAUGAAGAAUAGGUACAAAAUGAUGUAAGUCGGUUUAACUGAUGGGUGACCUACAUGAUCUAAGGCAGUUAUUUGCCUUAGAUCAUGUAAGGAUGCCUUCAGCAGAGAGAGGUCAUGCUAAUAACCAAAGGAAAAAUGUCUGAGCCCCACAUUUAACAAAUAGAAUGGAAGAUCAUGUUCAAGCUUGAAUGUGGAACUUUAAACAAGACACUCUUUAGACUUCAGGCUUGCUUCUUAAUGAUACUGAUCUCAGUAUAUGCCUCUUUGUAGUAACACUCUGCUUUGUGAAUUCUGAAGCUGUCCUGGAGCAAGGACCAUGUAGUAUGGCCUUUGUAAUUGAGGAGCAGGAUUAUUCUUGGGGAUAAGCAAGCUUCUUGCAACUGUUCUGCCUGACCAGAGUCUGUUUAAACCCUUGUUCCUUAUUUGCAGAUGGUAGUGAUGCUUGAGUCCUUCAGUAUUACAGAGGAAGCAUAAUUUUAUAUACAUCUAACUUAUAUGCAGAGCUGAGAAAUGUUACCUCUAAUGAAAACACCUCUUGCUCCUUUUCACCCAGGAGUUAUGAAUGCCAAAAUCUUUCAUGGGCCUGAAAAAAGACUGGACAAACUCAAGAAAGUAAAAUCGAUCUGCUAAAUUCAAAGAUACGGUUAUUGGAUCAAGUCUUGAGCCAUAGAAAGAUAGGGACUGGGAUUAUAUAUAUAACUAUAUGCAUGUCCUGUUCUUUCCUUCCUGUGCAUUCACUUUUGACCAGUGUUGCAGAAACAGGGUCCCGAGGUUCUGGUUUAAAUUGGUAUGGUAAUUCGUACAAAUUGUAAUUUACUUAAAAUGCUGGAAAUGCCUUCUGCUGUUUUGUAAUUGUGGGAAAACCCCAGGGCACACUCUGCCCGUAAGAAAGAAUCUUGUGCCCCAGUUAAGUUCUACUGGCAUACUCUGGGUAUAGCUACGAUGACAGGAGUGCUUUUGUUGGCUUAGCUUGUUUUACGAACGUGCAGUUGCAGUGAGGCAAGAAAAGCUCCGAUUAGCACGUAUUUCGUGUCCACGAGGGGGCUCUGACAGCUCUGGCGGCUGGUGAUCCCCGAGUUACACACGUCACUAAAAUGGCAGGCUGUAGUAACUGAAUGCUUGUUGCCUCUGGGAGCGAUUACAUCUGUUCUUGUUCAGCACUUUUGAAUUCUCUUAUCUAUUCUAUAUAAAGUUUAAAAAAAGAAAUUACAGAAAGGUAUUUUUCUGCCUCAUGUUGAGAAAUGCAUCUCUCGUUACGAAAACUUGCCUCAACUUUAAUAAACAGCACAGGCCAUUUGAUCUCUGGCAGAAGACAGUACCAAGCAUAUGUCAUCGCACGUGAGUUUCAGCUGUAUGAGAUAUUUUUCUAAUUAAAAAUUCAAGAGUUUUGCACACAUCAGUGUAUUUGUAAAGUAGAUGGAAUUGUUAUGGAGAAUCUUAAUUAUAAGUUUUGUUUGUUUUUUUUUAAAUCUUAGUAUUUUUAAACUUGGUACUACAGUCUUUCAAUAAA
Molecule: long non-coding RNA, 2857 nt
Organism: Pygoscelis adeliae (Adelie penguin)
Lineage: Eukaryota; Metazoa; Chordata; Aves; Sphenisciformes; Spheniscidae
Exons: 3
Source: RefSeq, a predicted model, not a curated record